This is a long non-coding RNA of Leptinotarsa decemlineata (Colorado potato beetle), 113 nucleotides long. Lineage: Eukaryota; Metazoa; Arthropoda; Insecta; Coleoptera; Chrysomelidae. The record is from RefSeq and is a predicted model, not a curated record.
GGAAUAAAAAGAAGUCAUUCGGUGCCAAGUCAGGACUAUACGGCGGAUGACUCAUCAAAUCGAUGUUUUGGAUGCCCAAAAAUGCAGUUGUUUGAGCCGAUGUGUGAGAGCUC